UUCUCUAACCUGAUUGGUGUCUCCUAGGUGAUACCCGUCCCACCCUGACAAUGCUGCCCCCCUCCAGUGAAGAGCUGCAGCAGGGGAAGGCCACCCUCAUGUGUCUGGCCAACAAGGGCUUCCCCUCAGACUGGAGUUUGUCCUGGAAGGUGGACGGCAGCAGCAGCAGCAGCAGCAGCUGGGAGCAGAGCAGGAGCCCCGGGGUGCUGCAGAAGGACGGCCUCUACAGCUGGAGCAGCACCCUGAGGCUCCCUGCAGACCAGUGGAGGAAGGUGGGCUCUGUGACCUGUGAGGCCACCCAGGGCUCCCAGACUGCAGUCACAGAGUCCCUGAGGAAAGACCAGUGUUCCCAGUCCUGACCUGACUCUCUGAGACUGAUAUUGUCUUUAAUCUGUGACUGCUCUCACUCUUUCUCUCCUGAUUAUUCUCUAUUUUCAUUGAGUCAUGUUUGCUUUGUCAUGUUGGUCAUUAUUCAAAUAAUAAAUAUUUACUCAUCAA
Non-coding RNA from Girardinichthys multiradiatus, 498 nucleotides. Lineage: Eukaryota; Metazoa; Chordata; Actinopteri; Cyprinodontiformes; Goodeidae. The record is from the annotation of a RefSeq genome assembly.